AGUCAGCCCAAAGCCCCUCGAGAGGGUCAGGGGUGAGGGGUUAGGGCUGAGGGAGGAUGGGCUUCAGAGCCGCCUGUUUCUUCUCUCUCUGGCCAAGGUGGAUGGAGGUUUUCAGGACUGGCAAGUUUCUCCCCAAAUGGCAUGGCAGCAAGCCCGGCUUUCACCAGCCAGUCAGGAUGUCAGGACUGAGGAAUCAGUAUGAGAGGAGACAGAUCAGCAGAUGCCCGGGGCCUCGGGGACAUGUACCGGCAGGCGGAGGCUGUGAUCCAGACUGGCCAACAGCCCGAGGCUGCUAACUAGGCAGCAUGGCAGCCUCUGAGGACUGCACACCCCCGGACUGCACGCCCCGCCUCCACCGAACAGCCCCUGUCGCCCACAGGCACAGCCUGGCUCCUGGGCACCGGGAAGGACACCUGGUGGCUUCUCAGCCUCCAAGGGCUCAGAGGAGUGGCGGGACAGACAUGGGUGGGAGUGCCUGACACCAGGCCUGGCUCGAGCAUUUGGGGGGUGUGGGGACCCUGUGUGCUCAAGGAGACCCUGCAAACACCCUUAGGAAGUAGCUCCUGUGUGGCCAACUGAGCCAGGCCCUCCCCUGACAUGGACACGGUAGCUCUGUCUGGGGUCCCUGCACUCUGCACCAUGGGGGUGACAGGCAUCCUAACACGAGCUGGCCUCAUCAGCGCCCAAGGCUGUGCACGUUGGGCAUUACGCCAGCUCCCCUGCAUUGUUUGAUACUAUGGCCUAUUUACAUAAUCAUUGUUUUGCCUGAAAGAUCUCCACCCAUGCCUGCAGGGCACAUUAAUCCCGCCAGCUUUCUACCUUCCCAGAGUGCCUUGUUUUUUCCACCCCCUUUCCUAGCCAAUCCCGUUCCCGACUUGCAACAUCCGUUUUUACCCGAUAAAGCCCGCUGCUGUUCCUGGUUUCACUCUCUUUCUCUUCCAUGCCUCAACCAGGAGUAGGGCUGGCAUGCACAGUGGGAGACGGCCAUUUUGCUAGCUCCACGUGGCCUAAACCCUCUGUGCUCACACCCAGCUCUGGGACUCCCACAUGAAUAAAGACUUGUGUUCCCGCUCUGC
Erinaceus europaeus (western European hedgehog) is the source of this 1076-nucleotide long non-coding RNA. RefSeq lists it as uncharacterized. The record is from RefSeq and is a predicted model, not a curated record. The transcript has 2 exons. Lineage: Eukaryota; Metazoa; Chordata; Mammalia; Eulipotyphla; Erinaceidae.